CUCUUGACCUCGGAUCAGGU
This 20-nucleotide ribosomal RNA is filed under the name Epicoccum nigrum. RNAcentral describes it as "partial 28S ribosomal RNA". The record is from RNAcentral. Lineage: Eukaryota; Fungi; Ascomycota; Dothideomycetes; Pleosporales; Didymellaceae.